RNAcentral lists this small nucleolar RNA (138 nucleotides) under Drosophila grimshawi. RNAcentral describes it as "snoRNA:GH25763". Lineage: Eukaryota; Metazoa; Arthropoda; Insecta; Diptera; Drosophilidae. The record is from RNAcentral.
GCAACUUCUACCCAUUGGUUGGUCAAAAAUCCUUCAUUUUGAGUCAACUAAGAUUCAUUGUUGCUAGAUUAUUAUUUCCGUGACUUACCAUGUAGAUGGGCAGCAAUUCCUUUUUACAGAAGUAGAAGCGUUACAAUC